RNAcentral lists this ribosomal RNA (120 nucleotides) under Ranunculus chinensis. RNAcentral's name for it is "5.8S ribosomal RNA". It matches the Rfam family "5.8S ribosomal RNA", at positions 49 to 154 of the family's 154-position model. From Rfam's summary of the family: 5.8S ribosomal RNA (5.8S rRNA) is a component of the large subunit of the eukaryotic ribosome. It is transcribed by RNA polymerase I as part of the 45S precursor that also contains 18S and 28S rRNA. Lineage: Eukaryota; Viridiplantae; Streptophyta; Magnoliopsida; Ranunculales; Ranunculaceae. The record is from RNAcentral.
CGAAAUGCGAUACUUGGUGUGAAUUGCAGAAUCCCGUGAACCAUCGAGUUUUUGAACGCAAGUUGCGCCCGAGAACUUUAGGUUGAGGGCACGUCUGCCUGGGCGUCACAUACAGCGUCG